CGAGUUCACACGUGCGAGGUCAA
This 23-nucleotide non-coding RNA is filed under the name Arabidopsis thaliana (thale cress). The record is from RNAcentral. Lineage: Eukaryota; Viridiplantae; Streptophyta; Magnoliopsida; Brassicales; Brassicaceae.